RNAcentral lists this ribosomal RNA (482 nucleotides) under uncultured Arcobacter sp. Its description in RNAcentral is "bacterial SSU rRNA". It matches the Rfam family "Bacterial small subunit ribosomal RNA", at positions 903 to 1382 of the family's 1533-position model. The record is from RNAcentral. Lineage: Bacteria; Pseudomonadati; Campylobacterota; Epsilonproteobacteria; Campylobacterales; Arcobacteraceae.
AAAGGAAUUGACGGGGACCCGCACAAGCGGUGGAGCAUGUGGUUUAAUUCGACGAUACGCGAAGAACCUUACCUGGCCUUGACAUACUAAAAAGCUUUAAGAGAUUAGAGUGUGCUAGCUUGCUAGAAUUUAGAUACAGGUGCUGCACGGCUGUCGUCAGCUCGUGUCGUGAGAUGUUGGGUUAAGUCCCGCAACGAGCGCAACCCUCGUGUUUAGUUGCUAACAGUUCGGCUGAGAACUCUAAACAGACUGCCUACGCAAGUAGGAGGAAGGUGAGGACGACGUCAAGUCAUCAUGGCCCUUACGGCCAGGGCUACACACGUGCUACAAUGGGGUAUACAAAGAGCAGCGAUACGGUGACGUGGAGCAAAUCUAGAAAAUGCCUCUCAGUUCGGAUUGUAGUCUGCAACUCGACUACAUGAAGUUGGAAUCGCUAGUAAUCGUAGAUCAGCAAUGCUACGGUGAAUACGUUCCCGGGUCUU